UAAUUAGAAAGGUUAAUUAAUUAUUGGAAAUUAUUUUAAAAUAUUACAGUUUAAUUUUCGCGCACUAAAGCAGAUAGAGAAUAAUAGCAUUUUAGCCAAUCAAAAAGCCGGUAAAACUUGGUAGCAAAACGAAUCAGUGCGCAUCAUUGUGCGCAUGUCGUCAGUCUACAGUUGAAAAGUGUAGUGAUGGGACUCGUUUCGUAGGUAAAAAUUAUCGUUUGAUUGAAGCAUCAAAAGUGGAUGGGAUGGCGUGUAACACACGUUUUUGACGACGCACACGACAAUUGAGAGAUAAUUCGACGAUUUUCGUCUAAACAUAUGUAACUGAUUACCGAGGUUAUUUUAAGCGGGAAAAAAAUUUUCAAUAUGGACGCCAUGAUGACAAUUCACAGAGCAGAAGUAAAGUUUAAAUUUUUGCAUCGAAGAAAAAAGUAUAUAUUAUAUUGUGACUGCGUGCAAUGUGGUCAGUAGAUUCAGUGUUUGUUUCGUAAUAGUAGUAUUUUAAAUAUUUUCGAGUACAAUAGUUUUAAGUAAAUUUAAUUAUAAUAAAUGUAUACGCGAAAUUAAAGCCAGUGUUCAUUCGCCGAUUAAAGAAUACAAUAAACGUAUUAAGAGAGUAAAUGCGAACGUGUCAUGGUUGACAUGAAAAAAGUUUCCAAUUAUUUUGCAGCAAUCUUCAAAGAGCAUGUACAGAACAGCAGCGCUUCAGCCAAUCAGAAAACCAUUGAAUUUUAAUGGCGGGACAAAUCAGUCCGCAUCAUUGUGCGCAUCAUUGUGCGCAUUUCAUCAGUCUACAGUUGAAAAGUGUAGUGAUGGGAUUCGUUUCGUGGAUAAAAUUUGAUUGAAACAUCAAAAAAAGGAUGGCCUUGAAAGUGUGUGAACAGUUUUGUACAAGCAACGACAAUUGAAAGAUAAUUCGUUGAUUUUUUUGCAAACAUAAUAUGUGACUGAUUGCUGAAUUACUUUAGAGGAGAAAAAAAUUUUCAAUAUGCAUGCCAUGAUGAUAAUUUACGUUUUACGGAAGAAAAAUAAAAUUUAAAUUCUUGUAUCAAAAAAAGAGAUGUAUGUUUUAUUUUUUACAAUUUUUUUUUUGAUGUUUGUGCUGUACAACGAAUGUGAAUUUUUUGCAAACAGGCAACAAAAGAAGAAUUUAUUUAAAAAUAAGUAAAUUUUUUCGCAAAAAGAAGAUGAAUGAAACAUGUCAUGAUCAGGGGUAUAAUUUUAUGAAAAAAGAAAUGGAUCAAUCGAAGGAAGGAGUAGCAGUCACGAGAACGCAAAGACGUACGGUAAAUGACACGCGAGUGAAAUUAAAAGCAAAUGCGGUCGGGGCACGUAUAAUUACCGCAAAAACGGAAAUGACUCCGCCAUUGUUGGUUACUUACGACGAAGAUCGAUCGCCAACGCCGCUCUCUUGAGAAAGAGAGAGAGAGAGAGACGCUUUUUUCGAAUUUUAUCGCAAAGCUCGCAAGGUCAAUUCUCAACCCAACGAUUCUUCGCGAAGGAAAAAUUUUUCUCUUCCCCGUUACAUGCGUUGAUCGAUCGAAAAGAAAAAAGAAAUAAAACAGUUACGGUAUUAAGAAGGAUGGAGACGCUUGUUAAAGGCUUUUAAAUCUACUUUUAAUUCGAUUUUAUCCUUGGGACGAAAAAAUAUUUUCGAAAAAAAUUCAAAUACUUGUGAUAUUUCGAUCUAAAAAAAAAAAAGUACGAGUAUUGAAAGAUUGAACUUGAAAGAAAAUUUAAAGUUCGAUUGUAAAAUUUUCUAAUACGUCGUUUCUCGAGAGAGAAAGAGAAAUAAUUUCGGAAUUGAAGCUUACGUUAAAACGAAGAGUAAUAUUUGUUUAAAAAUAGAUGGAAAGAGAUGGAGAUUGUUAAUGGGAGUUUGGUAUUUGCGCUUUGAUGCUUUGCAAUUUUUACAAGGCCUUUCUAGUAGAAACGAUGGGAAUGGAUCGUAAUAGAAAUCCAUUGAUAAAACCCCGUCUUAUAAUUCCUGGUUGCAAAACGUUGCAAUUUUUAUUCUUGUAAAAAUAAUUCGACUUUUCCAUUUUUUCUUGUAGAGAAAAAAAAAUCGAGUAAAAUUUCCUUUACUCGGAAUAACAAAUUCUAAAAAGUAAUUAAACAAUAAUGGAAAGAAAUCUGAACAUCUUGGAAUUAUUCUACGUCCAACGGUAUUAUUCCAACGGGUUCUCUAACAUUUAAAACCAAUCUUGCCUUAAAAUCUAUAUUGCCGCGCUUUGUCGUCCAAUCUCCUUAUAUACUCGAACGAGAUACUCGAGGAACGUUAAACCUCGAGAGGAGAUUUUUCUUUCUUUUUCUUUUUUUUCUUUCCUUUAAGCGAACCCGAUUUCAGGAAAACCGAUCCGCGAUACAAAGCGACGGAAGGAAUCUCGAGGACUCGCCGUUUUAAUUAGAAUUUCGUACUUUUUCACGGAAACGAAAACGUUCAAUCUCGGAGGUAUUAAUUAUCAGAUUUUUCGCGAUAAUCUUAAUCGCUGGAAGCGAGACAAGAAGCGAGAAUAACUUCAUCCCUCUCCUUGCGAUUCUUUCUCUCGAUUCGUGCAACGAUACCGCGUUCAUAGCCUGACAAGCGAAUCGAGAAAUUCAUCCAAGUCGAGUCGGUCGAUGCUUCAUCGAGAAAUGCGUCUAAUUGUCACGUAGAGAGAAAUUACAACGAAUUCCGUGGCUGGAUAUAAUUUACGCCGCCCGAGUACACGACAUUCCGAGCCUUUAUAGCCGACGUUAUCCAUUGAAUGUCAAAUGAGAACGGGUCACUCACCCAGAAACCUUCUCCUUCGUUUUCCAUCUCUUCGUUCCAACUCUUCUAUAACACGUAACGAAUAUCAUCCAACGGAAAUAAUUAACGCCGAAUUUCGCCCGAUUUUAUAUUAAAAAAAAGAAAAAGAAACUCGAGCGACCACUUCACUGCAUCGAGGAAGAGAGAAAGGAUUUUUCCCUGUCCUCCUCGAGGUAGACAACUCGACGCUAACCCAGUUCUCUCGAAACAAGCCCGACAACACCGAUCAAUUCGACUUUGGGAUCCGACAGAUGCCGAGAGACGGAGUGGGAAAGAUGUUGGUUCGUCGCUUCGAAACUUGGGAAACUCGAACAUUUAGGGACUAUGGGAUGAAGGAUGGAAACUAUCCCGUUCCAUGUAUAUCGGGAACGGUGUUUAAAAAAAAAAAAUAAAAUAUGGAAGAUGGAAAUAUGGGAAGAAGCACCGGAUCUCGAAGAGAGAAUCCCAGCUUCGAAUUUCGAGGAAAUAGAAUAGGAAGUUUGUAAACCUUGGUAAGUUGUAGAUAAGUUGUAGUAAAGCUGGUGUCCAAAACGUAAACCUAAACCCUUCCUCUUAGCGAGAGUAACGCCGCGAUUAUUCGCAAGGUACGCAAAGAAUGGAGGAGGAGGAAAGGGCCGGUCCUCGAAGCAAAGAGAAACAAAGUUCUGCAGCCCGUUAUUUUACACCGUGGAAUUUGCUUAACUUUAUCUUACCAGGAAACUUUGAAACGAUCCCUUAUUCCCAACCGAGAGAUCACCGCUGCUAAUUUCCAAUUUUUCUCCCCUCCUCCAACUUUACCGCCUUUAUUUAUCAGCGAAUUUGAAUCAACGAAGGGUUUGCAAGCGGGUGACAACGGUUAUCGAGUUUUGAUUCAACCGAUAAGUUUUCUUCACUUUGGAAGAAGAAUUCGAAAAAGAAGAAAUCUUUUUUUUUAUCGCGAUUAAUUUCUCCUAGAUUGUCUAUAAGAGAAUUCGAGUUGAAAAGAGAGAGGGAGGAGGAAUCGUUUAAACACCUUUCUUAUUAUUUUACGAGCGAGAGACACGAUUGGAUUAAAAGCGACGCUAAAAGAAGAAAAAAGAAAAAAAUGGUAAAAAUUUGUUCUUUGGCAAAGGUAACAACGAAACGCGAUCGACGCGAGCGAAACGUAAUAUCAGAAUCGAAAUACCCGAUCUCGGUUACCAGGCUUGAAAUUCGAGAACCACCCUUAAAAUGGCUACCUGCUUUUAUUUCCGUCGAACCACGAAACGCUAUUUCACCGCGCGUCUCUUUUUUCUCUCUCUCUCUCUCUUUCCCUCAAACUUAUUCCCCCCUUUGUCCGCCUUUUUCCAGUUCCAGUUUCGAUUUAUGAUUUGUCGAAGCCUCCCCCCACGCCCGCAGACCGCCUUCUCGUGGUGGAACGCAUCUGCAUAACACGAGCGUCGUCCAACCAACGUUCGCGAUAACGAACGAUGCACGCGAUCCAAUCGAGUCCCUUUCAUCCUUAUUUUUUCCCCCAUUAUCCGAUCCCGGCUCUAAAACGUUCGUAAAAAACAGGGCGAAUCUUAAUUUUCGUUUCGCUCCUGUUCGUUAUUUUCCACUUGUUUCCGUUGAGUUGUCUUCAUAUCGAAGGAUCUUGAUUGAGAAAUAAAAGAAGAGGAAGAAACCGUGUUCGUUUAUUCUAUCGAGAAAUAUAAAGGGAAACGUUUAAAAAUAAAGUCACUGAUGGACAAGAAAUACCCAAACUUCGCUCGACUGGUUAAGGAGAUAAAGGGUGUCCCAAAAUUAACGCAAGAUUUGAAUUAAAUAUAAAAGAGAGUUUUUAGAUAUUUAUUUUUUAAGUGAAUCAUAAAUAUAUAGGAUAUAGUUAUUUAUGGAAUAACACAUCGGGCACAUAUGCACCCUUUAGUCCAAAUUUUUCAUUACCUUUCCGUACAAUUGUGGCUGAAUUUCAUUGAUGAAGCAUUUAAUUUCCUCUGGUAAUGCACGUGUGCUUGUAGGAUUGUUGACAUAAACCUUUGACUUCAUAAAUAACCCCAUAAGAAGAAAUCUAAUGGUGUUAAAUCACACGAUCUAGAAAGUCAAUUCUGAUCACUGAAACGAGAGAGUACACGAGUACAGGAAAUGUUUCGUGCAGUAAUUGAAUUGUUUCAUAUGGCACAUAGCAUCGUCUUGUUGAAACCAUGUAUUCACAUCAAUAUCAUCCAAUUUCGGAAAGAACUGUGUUAUCGUGUCGCGAUAUCGAGUUAACAGUUGCAGCUUCUUUCUCAAAAAAGUAUGGUGCCUCCUACCCAAAAUCCGCACCAAACAGAUUGUGAGUGCAUUUGUUUUUCGCUAAUCACACGUGGCUUCUCCGAACCCCAAACAAUUUUGCCGAUUAACAAAUCGAAGUGAAAAUGCGCUUAGGAUUAUUUCGUUGGAAAAAUCAGCAUCCACUUUUUCACGAUUAAUAAUCCAUUCCACGUUGUCGUAUCGUAUAACGCUCCAUUUUUACCAACCUUAAACUCUCAACUAUCAAACUGUUCUUUUUCCAGACUUGCCAAUAACUUGAUGCAAAAAUCGCGGCAAAUUCAAAUCUUGCGUUAAUUUUGGGACACCCUGUAUAAAAAAAAUCGGAGUGCAAACAUUACGCGAUAAAAUACGAGCAGUUUUCUUUUCUUCCUCCCCUCCGAUAUUCCACGUUCGCAAACAUCGUAAAAUUUGUAUAAUUUUUCCAUCGUCCUUCGAAGAAUGGAACACACUGUAUUCACAUAUUCCUGCAAGCUGUAUUUAGAGUUUCUCUAAAAUUAAACAAGAGGAUAGAAAAAUGUACAAUAUUUAUGGCAAAUAAAUUAAUAAUUCAUCGAGCAUUUAUUAUUUAUCGAAUGCACGAAUUAUUCUGCAGAUGUUCCUACUCCUCCAAGAGUUUCUUUAAAAUUAAACAAGAGAAUAGAAAAAUGUACAAUAUUUAUGGCAAAUAAAUUGAUAAUUCAUCGAGCAUUUAUUAUUUAUCGAAUGCACGAAUUAUUCUGCAGAUCUUCCUACUCCUCUAAAAUAAGUUGCAUUAAUUUUUUUAAAAUUAAACAAAAGAAUAGAAAAAUGUACAAUAUUUAUGGCAAAUAAAUUGAUAAUUCAUCGAGUAUUUAUUAAUCAAACGCACGAAUUAUUUUGCAGAUAUUCCUACAAGAUAUUCUUACAAGAUAAGUUGUAUUACAUUUAAAGUUUCUCUAAAAUAUAAUGAAGGAAUAGAAAAAUGUACAAUAUUUAUGGCAAAUAAAUUGAUAAUCCAUUGAACAUUUAUUAUUUAUCGAAUGCACGAAUUCUGCAAAUAUUCCUACAAGGUAAGUUGCAUUACAUUUAGAAAAAUGUACAAUACUUAUGGAAAAUAAAUUAAUCUAUCAAGUAUUUAUUAAUUAAAUGCACGAAUUAUUCUGCAAAUAUUCCUCCAAGGUAAGUUGCAUUACAUUUAAAAAAAUGUACAAUAUUUAUGGCAAAUAAAUUGAUAAUCCAUCGAACAUUUAUUAUUAAUCAAACGCAUGAAUUAUUCUGCAGAUAUUCCUCCAAGGUAAAUUGCACUACAUUUAAAAAAAUGUACAAUAUUUAUGGUAAAUAAAUGAAUAAUCCAUCGAACAUUAUUAAUCAAACGAAUUAUGCAGAAUUAUUAAGAUAAGUUGUAUUACAAUUUUAAAAUUAUUCUAAAAUUAAAUAAGAGAAUAGAAAAAUGUACAAUAUUUAUGGCAAAUAAAUUGAUAAUCCAUCGAGCAUUUAUUAUUAAUCAAACGCACGAAUUAUUCUGCAGAUAUUCCUACAAGGUAAAUUGCAUUACAUUUAGAAUUAUUCUAAAAUUAAAUAAGAGAAUAGAAACAUGUACAAUAUUUAUGCCAAAUAAAUUAGUAAUCCAUCAAGCAUUUAUUAUUAAUCAAACGCACGAAUUAUUCUGCAGAUGUUCUUACAAAGUAAAUUGCAUUACAUUUAGAGUUUCUCUAAAAUUAAACAAGAGAAUAAAAAAAUGUAUAGUAUAAUAAAUAAGCUAGUAAUCCAUCGAACAUUAUUAAUCAAACGAAUUAUGCAGACUCUAAUUAUAUUUAGAGUUUCUCAAAAAUUAAACAAGAGAAUAAAAAAAUGUACAGUAUAAUAAAUAAGCUAGUAAUCCAUCGAACAUUAUUAAUCAAACGAAUUAUGCAGAUAUUCGUAAAUUGGAUUACAUUUAGAAUUACAUUGGAUUACAUUUCUCUAAAAUUAAACAAGAGAAAAAUAUACAAUAUUUAUGGCAAAUAAAUUGAUAAUCCAUCAAACAUUAUUAAUCAAACGAAUUAUUCCUACAAGGUAAGUUCCAUUACCUUAAGAAUUUCUCUAAAAUUGAACAAGAGAAUAAAAAAGCAGUAUGGUAAAUAAGCUAGUAAUCCAUCGAGCAUUAUUAAUCGAACGCACGAAUUAUUCCGUAGAUUGUUCCUUCGAGAUAGGUUGCAUUACAUUUUUUUUUCUUUUUUUUUUUUUUUUUAAAUUAAACGGGGGAACGGAGAAAUGUGGAAUAUUUAUGGCAAAUAAGCUAAUAAUCCAUCGAGCAUUAUUAAUCGAACGCACGAAUUAUUGUGUAGAUUGCUCGUGGAAGGUAAGUUGGGGAGAAAAAAAAAAAAAAUAACGGGGAGAAAUUACCCUCGAUGGUUUCUCCGAGCGAGAGCAAGGCGGUGGUUGUACGCAAAAUAACACGUUGUGCGAUUCCGUGGAAAUGCGAGAGAGAGAAGAAGAGGAGAAGGGAAGAGGGGAUCGUGGUCGAUCGCGAUUGCGUGAUCUCGGCCGGAACGUUGCCCGCCGUUGGUGGGUGAUGACAGACUGUUGGCCUCGAGAAUCGAGGGGAGAAGGCCCAUGAAUCUUUGAACAUUUGGGCCAAGUUGAAGGGGGGGUCGAUGCUGAAUUAUGAAAUUUUCAUUCGAUGAACGCGUGUACGCCUGUCGAAAAUAUACAGCCCACUUUACAGCGGACAAAAUAUCCUAUCCGAUCCUUUCUUUCUUUCUUUCUUUCCUUCCGUUUUCCUUAUUUUCUUUGCGUGUAAUGGAUAAUUCAGAUAUGUAUAUGAAAGAAAUAUAUAUGUAAUAUAUAAAUUUGAAAAGAUUUUAAAUUAAUCGUUUCCGAUAGAUUAACUUUUAAAAGGGGAGGAUAAACGACAGGUUGAUGAAUCGAGAGCAAACUUUUAAAGAAAUAAGAAAGCUUGUUGAAUGAAUUUAGUAGAGGCAUUAAGGAAGGGAAAGGCUGCACUUAUUAGCGGAAGAAGAAUCACCCUUCAUCAUGGUAGUUCACGGGCUACAAAUAGCAAUACCCGGUUAAGAAUAGAUUUCUCCAUUUACAUUGAGAAACAAUCGAUAUCGUCC
Apis mellifera (honey bee) is the source of this 8094-nucleotide long non-coding RNA. RefSeq lists it as uncharacterized. The transcript is spliced from 13 exons. The record is from RefSeq and is a predicted model, not a curated record. NCBI's taxonomy places the organism in Eukaryota, Metazoa, Arthropoda, Insecta, Hymenoptera, Apidae.